Molecule: non-coding RNA, 73 nt
Organism: Podarcis lilfordi (Lilford's wall lizard)
Lineage: Eukaryota; Metazoa; Chordata; Lepidosauria; Squamata; Lacertidae
Source: the annotation of a GenBank genome assembly
UGGAGCUGUAGCUCAGUGGCAAAGCAUCUGCUCUUCAGGCAGAAGGCCCUUGGUUGAAUCCCCAGCGCCCCAG